UAGGGAAUCUUCCACAAUGGACGCAAGUCUGAUGGAGCAACGCCGCGUGAGUGAAGAAGGUUUUCGGACCGUAAAGCUCUGUUGUUGGUGAAGAAGGAUAGAGGUAGUAACUGGCCUUUAUUUGACGGUAAUCAACCAGAAAGUCACGGCUAACUACGUGCCAGCAGCCGCGGUAAUCGUAGGUGGCAAGCGUUGUCCGGAUUUAUUGGGCGUAAAGCGAGCGCAGGCGGAAGAAUAAGUCUGAUGUGAAAGCCCUCGGCUUAACCGAGGAAUUGCAUCGGAAACUGUUUUCUUGAGUGCAGAAGAGGAGAGUAGAACUCCAUGUGUAGCGGUGGAAUGCGUAGAUAUAUGGAAGAAUACCAGUGGCGAAGGCGGCUCUCUGGUCUGCAACUGACGCUGAGGCUCGAAAGCAUGGGUAGCGAACAGGAUUAGAUACCCUGGUAGCCCAUGCCGUAAACGAUGAGUGCUAAGUGUUGGGAGGCUUCCGCCUCUCAGUGCUGCAGCUAACGCAUUAAGCACUCCGCCUGGGGGAGUACGACCGCAAGGUUGAAAC
RNAcentral lists this ribosomal RNA (553 nucleotides) under uncultured bacterium. RNAcentral's name for it is "partial 16S ribosomal RNA". It matches the Rfam family "Bacterial small subunit ribosomal RNA", at positions 355 to 900 of the family's 1533-position model. The record is from RNAcentral.